GUGUUAAACAUGCUAGAAAAAGAUAUUUUGAAAAUUUUGCUUAGCCAUGGUAUUUUGACCCCCCUGCGGUAUAUUGAACCCCCUACUUAAAACCACAAAUUAAAAAAAUGAUAGCCAAUAAAUUGUAAAUUAGAUUAUCUGCAAUACUAUUUAUCAAAAACAGGGGGGUUCAAUAUACCGCAGGGGGGUUCAAAAUACCAUAUGUGAAAAAUGACCCCGGGGUCAAAAUACCAUGCGGUAUAAUGACCCCGGGGUCAUUUUACCGCAUGGUAUUUUGACCCCGGGUUCACUUUUUAGGGGGUUCAAAAUACCAUAUGACACCGGGCGUA
This 329-nucleotide long non-coding RNA is filed under the name Mytilus galloprovincialis (Mediterranean mussel). Lineage: Eukaryota; Metazoa; Mollusca; Bivalvia; Mytilida; Mytilidae. The record is from RNAcentral.